UCCCUCAAAACGCCACUUUUUGCGGACCCGCACAAAAGAUUAUUGAUUUUAUACACCCAACAAAUAAAGAAACAUAUCGUGAUUACAUCACAAACCCAAUCCUUUCUCCCCUCCCCCGUCGAAGCCCCGACGCCUCAGGAGUCGCUCACCGCGGGCUAGGUCAUCGAGCGGGCACAUCCUUUCAUCGCGCGUAUGUCGACCUCACCCAACCCCAGAUGCGCAGGAUAGCUACGCCACGAGGACACCACCGCGCUGCCGUAGACCUCACCUGAUCCGGCCGAUCUGCAGCACCAUCACCACGCGGCCAGGACAUCGCCAUGAGCACACAUCACCACACGGCCGGGCCAAUCAACUACAUCAGCACUCAUCUCCAGUUGGAGUGCUGCCAUUGCCGACGACGUGCUAGGCGGCACCUUUGCAUCCAGGCAGCCAGCCCCACGAGAGCAGCUCCUCCCGCACUCAGGUACCUUCAUCCAUCCACUGUAGGUAGUUACGUAUUAUUCUGUGCCUUAUUUGCAUUGGAGACAUGGAACUGCUCCAGACGUGGAAAACAUAUUAAGGAACUAUCAAUGAAUCAGAACAGCAACUUUCAGUACAGUACAACUAACCUGAUUGAGAGCUCCAUUGGCAGCACGGUCAUAUAUAAGUUCACAUAAAAACAUGUUCAAACAUCUCGAGAAGGUCUGAACUUGCAAGAUCAUGCUGGAUUGGGUUUUUUUAGAUCCAGCUCCUUUAGGGAUGGACAAUAUUUGGGCUUUAGGCUCACAUCUUGGCCAGCCUUGAAGGUUGUUAAAUAACCCUUGCUAUCAACCUUCUCCAAGCCCAUUUUUGUUUGCUUGCUGCCAUAGCACAACAAUGAGGGUUCCUCAAGUAAAAAAAGAAUUGUAGCUACCAAAAACAUUCUGCGUGUACAAUAACUCUUGUCAUUGGAGAAAUCUUCAGUAUGUGUGCAAUGUGCAACUCAUGGGAAUAAGAAUGUUUGCCUCUACCUUUUAGAUUCAUAAGAGAGUAUUGUAUAAACAAAUGGUUAUCUCUUGCAUGAUGUUUUUCUCUCAGCUUUUUCUCAUACACACUGCUAUCUGGUAGCUUCACCUUUGGGGAUACGAACACACGCUUAACUUCAAGAUGAUAUUCAGUACCAAAUGAAUCACAUCUACCAAAUCUUUUUCACUGCUCCACUAUUUUCUUAGAUGUAUAUAACAUCACCUACUGUCCAUAUGUAGACAGUGUGAGUAACCUAAAGCAACAAAUGCAGAUAGUAGAGUUGGUACGGUAACCCAGAAAGCAAAUAUAGUGCAUGAGCUAUUAUUUUGUAGACAUUGACUUGAAUGAGAAAUCAACGUUCUUAUUACAUAGACAUUGACUUGAUUGAGAAAUCGCAUUCUUAUUAUAUAGACAUUGAUUUGACUUUCAAAUUGGACUGUUCUUCAGCUGUGGCCCUGAACAAAAUCCCUCAACUUAUUUAUUUUAGUUCGUUAAUCAGUGAACCGUUUGUACUAAAUUAGGAACAAAGCAAACACAUUUCUCAAUCCAAACAUCCGAAGCAAAAUCAUAAAUAAAUAAAUAAUAAAUAAAUUUACCACUGUUGCAUUGUGGCGAGGGAGUAGUUUCCAUCCAUGGGGAGCAUCGUGCCUGCGCACUAUUGCCUACUCACCGUCAGGGACCUUUGCCGAAUCUGGUUCGGCUCAGCCAUGGCUGGCUGGCUGCCGCCAGAGCCGACCAGGAGAAGAGGAGAGGGUGGCACAGAUCGAGUUCGCAUGACACCAUAUUCCAACACCCAAUGGUAGCACACACUCGCUGCCCUCCACGCCACAUAAUAAAAACAAAACAAGAGAAAUUGUUCAAAAAAUAUAGACCCAUAAGUAGGCUGGCAAAGUAAAAGCAUUAUGGUGAGUGAAAACUUGGAAACAAAAAGGCUGAAUGUAGAAAACAAAAAGCCCAUGCAAAAGAGAGCUCAAAACCAUAGACACAAUCAUUUCUCGAAUAGACCAUUUCUGAAAAAGAAAAAAGGGAGAAAAUGCAAGGAUAUUAGAAGCACAAUUAUUUUCUUAAUAACAUAUGAAUAGGCACUCCAAAAUAGGUAUUGGUGCAGGCACAUUCAUAAUCAUACCUAAACUAGCUACUUGAUCUGUAAUAUAUUAGAGAAAAUUUGCUCAUUGCCAUCAAAUUCUAUACUGUUUUCCUCAUUGCCAUAAAAAAUAAUAGCUUUCCUUAUCGGCCAUUAAUUUGGUUUUUUUGUUUCCUCAACUGCCAUCACCAUUACAUAUAUGUAUUUUCUUUUCUUAACUGCCAUCUAAUUACAUAGUUUUUUUCCUUCAAUGCCAUCACCGUUAUGUAAUACGUGUGUGUCCAUGUUACUUUGGAAGGAGAGUCACAGUUGUGCCCCUGCCACUGACCUGAUGAAGGCCCAAACCUCUCGUUCCCUUCCCAGACUGAUGAACUCAGCAGUGUGAAAAAAAUAGAUGGAGAAAUCGCCGAAGCGUACCCUAGGUCCCCGCGGCUCGCACAUCCCCAUGCCUGCUCCACCGCCCGCACCCAAUCCUGAUCUCGCCCAAGCCUGAUCCCCCUUGCCCGCACCGGAUCUCGCUCGCCCGCGUGCGACCGCCGCCAUUCGCAGGGCCAUGCACCGCCGCUCCCACCCGCGAGACCAGGCGUCGCCGCCGCCACCGGCGCGAUCGAGUACCUGGAUAAGUGGGAUGUUAGAAGAACAAUCUCAAGAAAGAUUCAAGGGAUUAUUCUACCACACAUCGUCAAGACAUUGAAGGAGCAAAGCAGAAACUUGGAUAUGGAUGUACAAAGAAAUGGGGAUACCGUAGCAGAGGUAUCUGUGAAGGGUGGCAGUGGCUUCAAAUGUGUUGUCAACCUAGAAGCAAGAACCUGUACAUGUAGGAAAUGGCAAGUCUCAGGGAUUCCUUGCAAACAUGCUAUUGCAUUCAUUACAUCUCUUGCAGAACAAUUGGAGAAACAUGUUGACAUGUAUUAUUCUGUUGAGAAAUUUGGAGCAGCGUAUGAGGACCUUAUAUCUGCCAUACCUGACAAGUCUCAGUGGCUGAAAUCUGACCAUGGUUUCUUUAUGAAGCCACUGCUUCUAAAACCUACGGCUGGUAGAAGGCAGAAAGAGAGAAAAAAAAGAUGUACUGAGGGUGGUAGCAGCACGACAAAGAAGAAAGGGUCACAUCAGUGCCCCAUCUACAAGGGAUAUGGCCACCGCUGGUAUAACUGCAAGUACGGUGACCCUGAUGAUAUAGCAGCCAUGCUAGCUGAGAAGUAAGCAUGCUGACAUUGCUCAUCUUUAAUUUUUUUUGCCACUUGUUAUUAAUUCCAGGUUGCCGCCAUUUUAAUUAUUGGAUGUGAUUCAUAAAAUGCAGGGGGGAACCAAAGAGGAGGAAGAAAACAAUUGAACCAUCAUGUGAGAGUAGUAUUGUCCCAGUUAAAGCCGGACCUAAAACAAUGCAAUUUCCUUCUAGGUAUGCCUCUAUGCACUUACAGAUUUCACAUGUUAUAUUCAUAUUUGUUAUUCUUAAAAAUGUAUCCUUUUUUUAUAUUACAGCCAAGGUGCUUCAGUUAACUUAAAUUCUGGAAACUCUCUCAGCUAUGCUGAAAUUGCAAAACUCCAAUUCUUGAUUAUAGUAUAUGAUAUUAUCCUCUGAAAUUGUAAAACUCUCUCACAUGCAUGUAAGUGGCUCAAACCAACCUGAUCUGCUUGCCAUUGAGUACCCUUCCAUGUCUUUAGGUGAAACGACACCACCACCUUCCACAUCCACACCUAUAGAACAGAAAAUGGAUAAAAGAAAAGCUAAGGCACAAGUGAACAAGAAGAAAAAUAUGGUUCCAGUGCCACCAGAUAGUCCAGCUAUGGCGAGCAAGACUCCUCUAAACCAAAGCCCUGCUGCACACACUAGAAGCAAGAGGAAACUUCUAGAUCUUAAUUUGUAGUUUAUGCAUAUCAUCUAUGUGGCUUGUGAUGUUAAUAGUGUAGCUGCCUUAUUUUGCUUGCUAUGCAAACUUAUGGCUGCUUAUUUUGCUUAGCGAGAAUGAGCCAAGUUGCAGACUAUAUAGACAAUGAUGGCUGGUUGAACUUGCUCUUUUGCUUGGUCUGUGAACUAAUGAAUUGCUACUUUGCUCGGUGAACCAAUGGACAUCUAAUAGUGUAUGCCUAAUGUCAUUUUAAUUGUGUUAAAAAUAUGUUGCUUUAAUGUUGCCUCUCAUGUGUCUAUAGUAUUUGUUGUUGUCAUACCUCCUGUAUAUCGUUCUGGACAUCAAUGGCAAGCAAGGAAUUCUUGGACAAAUUUUUUGGAGGGGUAAAGCUGUCAUCCCCAUCCAGUCUAACUGCAGAUUGCUAACAGAAUAGGCAGUUGCCCUAAACCCUGGGCUUGUUCACGGUAAUGGCAGUUGAGGAAACAAAAAACCCAAAUUGAUGGCAGAGAAGGAAAGCGAUUAUUUUUUUAUGGCAAUGAGGGAAGCAGUAUAGAAUUUGAUGGCUAUGAGCAAAUUUUCUCACUAUAUUAACUCAAAACUAAUCAGAAGCUAAAAUUUCUAUAUACAACAACUCCAAAAAUUAUAAAUAGAACAAAGCCAGGAUAAUGUGAGAGAAAGGAUAAAAUCUAGAAGCUUCACAUACGAGAUUUUUAUUGUGCACUCUUAGUUAAGAUCUACAAGCAUGUAGGCACAAACAGAUAGAAUCAUAUGCCCAAAAGGCCAAAAGCAAUCUCACAUACCACAACAUUCCUAACAAAUCCGAAUAUGUAAAGCACAUUCUACACCUUAACUUCCUCAAGAAGCUUCUUCUCCCACAUGUACAACUUAUGUAGUGUUUAGGUGAGGUUGUCGGAUCCCAUCGCCUUGUCCUCUUCAAAACAUAGAAACUCCUCCAUUGUCGGUAUACCACAAACCAUCAUUGCAGAGUCUAAAUGCCAAUUGUUUCAAAUUAGUAUUCGUACUGCUAAGUGUGCAGUAAAAUUAAAAGUAUUAUUGCAAAUGUGAAAUAAGAUUUACCGACCUUUGAAACCUGAACUCUUCUGGUAGUAAGGCAUAUUUCCAACCUCAAGCAUCUUGAAUACCUCACCGCCUCAUUAGAGAGGCAUGAUCUAAUUGAGUUCUGAUCUCUAUCACCACUUAGUGUCAUCAAUGUAUACCUUCUCUGAUCCCACUCCCUGUUGUAGCCGGUAGGAGGUGAUAGCCACUCCAGAUCUGCUCGCCUCAGUGCCUGCCCACUCGCUAGCUGCUCCCCAUCUAGAUUCGCCCCACCUGUUGCUGCUGUGACUGGGCUCUUCUGCUGUGAGGAGAGGGAGGAAUAAAAAGUGGUUCUUGUAGGCGGCAGGCAGCCGGCUGCUCUGGUCGGUCGGGUCGCCAUGGGGUACGACCAGUCCAAGAUGGAGGAGUAUGCGGUGCGCCACUGCCGGGUGCGCUCCGAGCUCCAGAUGCUGGCCAUUCACCAGCGCUACAUGCUCGCCGACAUGCACCACACCUAUGUCCAGUUGCUGCGCUCCAUCACCGCCUUGCUCCACAACUUCCUCCGGAGGGCCCAGUGGCUGCCGCCGCUACUGCCCGAGCUCGUGCUCCGCCUCCUACAAAUCUGGAAGAAGGGUGAAGGGAGAGCCACCUCGGACAGUCAGAGAGGAGGAAGCGGGGAGGAAGCGAGAGAGCCAAGAGCUCAAGAAGCGGAGAAUUUGAGGAAGGGGAUUGGUACGGACAGGAGAGAGCCGAGGGAGAGUUGACGGGCGGAUAAGGAUGGGCCCAGUACGCAUGCGUGUGUGAGUAUUUAUUACUUUCUCCUUUUUUCUUUUAUAUUAUUAUCAUAUAGACAUAUAUAUUAUUGUAGUGCUUAUAUAAACAAGCAGUGAUGUAUAUAUUAUAUUUCCCGAGUUUCUAGAUCAGUCCCUGGGCUGAUGAUAUAAAUGGUGGUUGCAGUCAAAGUAAGAUUUCCACAUAUGGUGUUUUUACCAUUGAGAAUCUUGGACACCUACCAAUAGCAAUAGUGAUAAAAUGUUGAAUUUGUCAUGGAAAAUUUGUUACAACUGUUCAUCAAUACAAAUUGUCACUUUUUAUUGUCAGGGUAGAGCUGUGCAGUAUAAAUAUGAUUGGUCGUGGUAAUCUCUAACAUAGCUAUUUGCUCCUUGCAACAGGGCACUAACUAUACUUCCAAUUAGUUUUUAUUUUUAUUUUUAUCAGACAUAAUAGCAGUAUGGUUUCACGUAAUUGCUGAUAGUAAAUUUUGCCACAUACACUUAAUGGAUAUCUUAUUGUACAAUAUAUAUCUACGUAGAAUAGAUCUAAAGUCACGCAUAUUUAUACGGUGAGUAUAACGUAUUUUGUUUUAAGGUUUUGUGGGAAAAUUUUCAAAACACGUAGUAUUAUCCAUGUGGUAGACACUUAUAUUUACAUAUGUAUAGAAUUGCAAGGAGAUAUAGUGGAAUUUAUUCGUGGAUUUAUUGGCGCAUGAAAAAAAUAGACAUAUGAGAUUUCUAUACAAUACAGUUUGUGAGCUUGUGACUCUGUGUUCUCAAUGACUGUUAAUUUUAUAAACUUUAUUUUUUUACUAAACAGAACUUUAAUAUUGGUAUUUAAUUUUUACUAUAUGUUAUUUUAUGGUGCGAUUCAUGUGAUUUUAGUAUAUAAUAUUAGUUAUUCCGUAACAACGCACGGGCACGCUACCUAAUAAGUUAAAAAGAAGGAUAGGAAGCCGCUUCUUGUGAAAUCCACUCCGAGCAUCCACAGCCGUACCAUUGAAGAUCGAAUGGCUAAUACUAAUCCGGGUGACGUGGAACCAGCUUCUCAAACUGGAAGCCACCGGAGAAUAUAAGGGAGAAUACCACGCAUCCCUAGGACGUCAUUGCCG
This 6838-nucleotide long non-coding RNA is filed under the name Sorghum bicolor (sorghum). Its description in RNAcentral is "long non-coding RNA (SBIC_LNC004697)". Lineage: Eukaryota; Viridiplantae; Streptophyta; Magnoliopsida; Poales; Poaceae. The record is from RNAcentral.